RNAcentral lists this ribosomal RNA (253 nucleotides) under uncultured bacterium. RNAcentral describes it as "partial 16S ribosomal RNA". It matches the Rfam family "Bacterial small subunit ribosomal RNA", at positions 524 to 776 of the family's 1533-position model. The record is from RNAcentral.
UACGUAGGGUGCAAGCGUUGUCCGGAAUUAUUGGGCGUAAAGAGCUCGUAGGCGGUUCGUCACGUCGGCUGUGAAAUCCCGAGGCUCAACCUCGGGUCUGCAGUCGAUACGGGCGGACUUGAGUACUGCAGGGGAGACUGGAAUUCCUGGUGUAGCGGUGAAAUGCGCAGAUAUCAGGAGGAACACCGGUGGCGAAGGCGGGUCUCUGGGCAGUAACUGACGCUGAGGAGCGAAAGCGUGGGGAGCGAACAGG